RNAcentral lists this ribosomal RNA (468 nucleotides) under uncultured bacterium. RNAcentral describes it as "partial 16S ribosomal RNA". It matches the Rfam family "Bacterial small subunit ribosomal RNA", at positions 28 to 507 of the family's 1533-position model. The record is from RNAcentral.
GACGAACGCUGGCGGCGGGCUUAACACAUGCAAGUCGAGCGGAAAGGCCCUUCGUUGGUGUGCGGCUCGAGUGGCGAACGGGUGAGUAACACGUGAGUGUACUGCCCUUUCCUUUGGGAUAACUUCAGGAAACGGGGGCUAGUACCGGUUACGCGCUGCUGCUGCAUGGGGGGGCUUGGAGAGUUUCGGAGGCUGGUGAUUGUGUCGCGGGUUGUCAGCCUGUUGGUGGGGUAGUGGCUUACUAAGGCUUUGACGGGCAGCCGGCCUGAGAGGGUGACCGGCCCAAUUGGGACUGAGAUACGGCCCGGACCCGUACGGGAGGCAGCAGUGGGGAAUAUUGCACGAUGGGCGGAAGCCUGGUGCAGCAACGCCGCGUGCGGGAUGACGGCCUUCGGGUUGUAAACCGCUUUCGCCUGUGACGAAGCGUGCGUGACGGUAAUGGGUAAAGAAGCACCGGCUAACUACGUG